This 72-nucleotide transfer RNA is filed under the name Megalops atlanticus (tarpon). Its description in RNAcentral is "tRNA-OTHER". The record is from RNAcentral. Lineage: Eukaryota; Metazoa; Chordata; Actinopteri; Elopiformes; Megalopidae.
AGCAGUGUAGCAUAGUGGUAAGGAGCAGGGCUCAUAACCAAAUGGUUGCUGGUUCAAAUCCUGUUGCAGCAC